UGGAUCACCUCCUAACAGGGAGACAACAACUGAUUGUGAUGUCUGAGUGACUAAUUCUUAGGCCAUGAUCUUGUCACCUUAGGUCGAUCGGUACCUCAAGUUAAUAAUCAAAGCCAGGCUGAGUAAUUGGUUUGGAGAUUGAUGAUUAAUUUUAGUUCCUAAACUUGUCUAGGUCACACUCCGCAAAGAUUACUCCUGGGCCAUUAGCUCAGGUGGUUAGAGCGCACCCCCGAUAAGGGUGAGGUCCCUGGUUCAAGUCCAGGAUGGCCCAUUCGGUGUUGGGGGUUUAGCUCAGUUGGUAGAGCGCCUGCUUUGCAAGCAGGAUGUCAGCGGUUCGAGUCCGCUAACCUCCACUUACACUGAUUUCGGAUAAAGAUUCAAUGGUGAGGAUCAUUGUGUGUGUGAUUUAGAAUUGAAGUUUGCUGGAAGAUCCUAGCUUCCUAUCAUUCCAGACCUAAAUAAAUUUAGGUGAGGUUGACAGGACGCUGGGCUCACUGUAAUUCGAGAGGAUUACAGAGAUGUUCGGCAGAACCUUGACAACCGCAUAGAUAAGUCUGGAAAGAAUAAAGCAUCUCAUGGAGGCGUAAUUCUUGUUGCUUUGCUGAUGUGAUCUGCGUUAGCAGAUGGCUGAGGUUUAUGAACUGGAAUUAUGCUUGAUUCUUGAGUUAAGAGCCGAGACUCUAUGGCGUUCUCUUGAUAUCAUUCCGAUGUCAAGAGUUUGAUUGGUUCAUUCAAUCUAUCUACCAUAUUAGGCAUUCAAGGAAACUUGAUGUUUGAGAUUGAGAUCAGAUGAAUGAUCAAGAACACGUGUUCAACAACGUGAGACGUUAUAGAGAUGAAUUGGUCAAGCUACAAAGGGCUCAUGGUGGAUACCUUGGCACACAGAGGCGAUGAAGG
Molecule: transfer RNA, 897 nt
Filed under: uncultured Prochlorococcus sp.
Lineage: Bacteria; Bacillati; Cyanobacteriota; Cyanophyceae; Synechococcales; Prochlorococcaceae
Description: bacterial LSU rRNA
Rfam family: tRNA (bases 281-353)
Source: RNAcentral